This 443-nucleotide ribosomal RNA is filed under the name uncultured bacterium. Its description in RNAcentral is "partial 16S ribosomal RNA". It matches the Rfam family "Bacterial small subunit ribosomal RNA", at positions 338 to 795 of the family's 1533-position model. The record is from RNAcentral.
CCUACGGGUGGCAGCAGUGGGGGAUAUUGGACAAUGGGGGAAACCCUGAUCCAGCGACGCCGCGUGAGUGAAGAAGUAUUUCGGGAUGUAAAGCUCGUUCAGCAGGGAAGAAAGAAAUGACGGUACCUGACCAAGAAUCCCCGGCUAACUACGUGCCAUCAACCUCGGUAAUACGAAGGGGGCAAGCGUUAUCCGGAAUUACUGGGUGUAAAGGGAGCGUAGACGGUGAUGCAAGUCUGGAGUGAAAGGCGGGGGCCCAACCCCCGGACUGCUCUGGAAACUGUGUAACUUGAGUGCAGGAGAGGUAAGCGGAAUUCCUAGUGUAGCGGUGAAAUGCGUAGAUAGUAGGAGGAACAACAGUGGCGAAGGCGGCUUACUGGACUGUAACUGACGUUGAGGCUCGAAAGCGUGGGGAGCAAACAGGAUUAGAUACCCGAGUAGUC